GAUGAAGAACGUAGCGAAAUGCGAUAAGUAGUGUGAAUUGCAGAAUUCAGUGAAUCAUCGAAUCUUUGAACGCGCAUUGCGCCCCUUGGUAUUCCAUGGGGCAUGCCUGUUCGAGCGUCAUUUGUACCUACAAGCUUUGCUUGGUGUUGGGUGUUUGUCUCGCCUUUGCGUGUAGACUCGCCUUAAAAUAAUUGGCAGCCGGCGUAUUGAUUUCGGAGCGCAGUACAUCUCGCGCUUUGCACUCAUAACGACAGCGUCCAAAAGUACAUUUUACACUCUUGACCUCGGAUCAGGUAGGGAUACCCGCUGAACUUAAGCAUAUCAAUAACGGAGGA
RNAcentral lists this unclassified non-coding RNA (335 nucleotides) under soil metagenome. Its description in RNAcentral is "partial contains 5.8S ribosomal RNA, internal transcribed spacer 2, and large subunit ribosomal RNA". The stretch from base 1 to 120 matches the Rfam family "5.8S ribosomal RNA", at positions 35 to 154 of the family's 154-position model. The record is from RNAcentral.